Molecule: long non-coding RNA, 2792 nt
Organism: Lytechinus pictus (painted urchin)
Lineage: Eukaryota; Metazoa; Echinodermata; Echinoidea; Temnopleuroida; Toxopneustidae
Exons: 3
Source: RefSeq, a predicted model, not a curated record
UAGCAGGGAAGCUAACAUUGAAUCAGGAGAAAGAGAUAAGAAAAUGGCCUUGACAAAACGUCUCCAGGAAAUGACCGGAAAAUGGAAGAGGGAAAAUAAACAGGAUAAGGAAAGGUUCCGCCAACGUGAACUAAUUAUUCAGGUUGGAACAGCCCACCAGUGAUACCUGAACACAUUGGACCAUUAAUGGACACAUCAGUUGGUAUACAUUGCACAGGUUGCUACAUGUACAUCAACAUGCAGAAAUAUGUGAAUACAGCUGGGAAAAUGAUUGAACAAAGGGAAUCACUUACCUGAUGCUGACAGCGCCACCUAGUGGUAAGGGCACUCUCCUGCCCUGGGAAGGUGCAAGGACCUUCUCUGGAGCAGGCAUUGAGGAUGUUUCACUUCUCGUUUCUCUUUUCUUGCUUCUGCUUUUGGUUGGACCCUCUGUUCUUGAUCCAGAUCGUUCAGACUGAGCAACCUGUCUACGUUUUCUGGUGGACGAUCUUGAAGGCAUGAUGGCAAGACUGUGCAUUCUUUGGCCAGCUAGGGCAUGUUCAACCGUAUCUGUGAAGAAAUAAGAAAUACGUUUUAGUGUUUAUCAAGAUAUAUUUCAAUACUCCUGAUUACUCAGAGCAUCUGGACCCUUUUCUAGUCUAAAACAGUCUUUGGGAGGAAACAGUAAAAAGCCAGGUCCCUCUCGGACCACAGAGUACUCGUGAAUUGGCUUGAUAUCUAACACGGAUCACCGGAGUACAAGACCGCCGCUCUAUUAACUGAGCUUUCACACCUCAAUUGUAUUGUUUGCUUUUGGCUCUAUUUUUUUCUUCAAGAUUUCAUCUCUUUCGGUCCAUAUUACAUUGAUUGAUUGCACUGCGCCUUGCAGCUCUUUAAUUCUUCAAGUCAUUCAAUGGCUCAUAAAAGAUUGGGAAAUUAAAUCCUCUCACUUUACAAUAGAAUAGACGUGAGGGAAGAAGGAAUAGCAUAUGUAAAUAUACCAUGAAACGUCCAGUGUCAGUGAUUCAAAUUAUUUGGUGCAACUGCUAGGAGGAAAGAUUGACCUAGGGGAGUAUACAGAAUUAAUUUUAUUCUUAAACCCUAUUCUAACUGGGGGAAAUCAUGCAGCAUAGAGCAAGUUCACAUUGUCUCAAUGUCAUAGUAUUUUCAUACACGUUUCAUACAUACCAGAUGGAUGGAAGCUCAGAAGAGAAAGAUUACAAGAAGGUUCUGAUAUUGGUCUUCUGGUGUAGACUUGAGUCAGAACUUGUUCAGAAGUGUGAAGCACUGCAAUACAGCACCUUGUCAUACUAGUUUCAUCACACACCUGUCCCUUGAGGAGUCGCUUGACCAAAGAGCGGGUCAAGCGAAGAUACGAGUACAUAGAGUGACUUCCAAAGGAGUCCCACAGAGAAGACACCAGAAUGGCUUUGUAAAGAGAUAGCACCUUAUGGAGUUUCUGAUCUAUUGCACCAUCCCCAGCCCCACUGAUGCUCUUUCGCGUCUGCGCUGGGAGCUUGAUGUCUUCAUCCUUGCGUAGAAGUAUCCAGAAUAAAGCCAUGAAAACCUUGAUGGUGUAUUGCAUGAGAUAUUCAAGGCGGGCGUUCCAAGGUCCCGCAUGGCUGACUCCAACUCCCCAAGCACUGAGAGCAGCCAUCUGGGUCCACUGAAUCAAUGACUCUAUGCUAUGAUUCCCAAUGGGUAGGAAACCUAGGGACUGGGUCGAUGACAUCAUGGCAGAAUCGUCAAACAACAACCUCCCAGAGGUCAUAUUGCCAAAUUGUCCACGGUGUCCAAGAUCGCUGCUCUGUGUACUCUCCAGCCCGAAACUAUCGGCAGUCGCAAGCAUGUCGAUCAUGUUUGAGAACGUCCGAUGCUGCGCUGACUGUAGGUUGGGGCUUGCAGGUUCACGUCGUAACGAUCCCAGGCCAACAGGCCCAAGGUCCCGUGCGGAGUAGAUGAGGUGUAGUGCUGUAGCGCCCUCGCUCAGGUAAUCACCAAGGAUGCUAGAGCAGGUAAGGUCAGCAGGAAACUCCAAGACUAGUCCUAGAUACCCAUCAGAGCAGAGGAUCAAGGGACUGGACGAAUGGCACGAGACGGAGAAGCGUUGUCGUCCUUCAUCUGCUUCCGAUGUAAGGGAGCUGGUAGGGGAUGGUGGACGGUCACCAAGAGAACUUGGCUUUCUGUAGUGAAGAAAAAUUGAAUGUCAACAUUUUCAUUUCAUGUUUAUUCGUUUUGUACAUGUAUUUCAAACAUACAAGAAAAAGAACUACUGAAUGAAAAGAACAAACAGGUUUUCCCAGCUGCUCUUCCCAACAUUACCUGGAAUAAGAAAAAUGUUAUUUGAAAUUUCUAUAUCCUCUAUCUUACAUACAUGUACCAGGUAAUUAUUCCAGCCUUGUCCCAUGAAUAUCGGUGUAAAGUAUUUGAUACUUGGAUAUAAUAAAAUCUUAAAUAUGUUCAUAUAAAAUCAAUGACCAACUACAAAAUUUUACAAAAUGCCUACAACAGGAAAAUCUGAGAAAUUUUCAUUAAAGAACAAACCAAACACUAACAAAGUACAAAAUGAAAUUUUGGCUUUAUUUAACACUAUUUUAAAACAAAUAUGACACAAAAUUUACACAAGUGAGACAAAAAUGGACUGCUGAAUGAAAAAAAAACAGCUCUCACAAUAAGCCUUAAGAAGGGCACUUUCUUAAUUGCCUCAGAGCCGCUUCUGUAAUAAGGUGAUAUUGGGAUGUGGACACUUGGCAGAAAGGCCUACAGUUUUGUAUCUGAAUAAUAAUCAUAAAACCCAUUCCAUAAACCUUGCU